RNAcentral lists this ribosomal RNA (601 nucleotides) under uncultured bacterium. RNAcentral's name for it is "bacterial SSU rRNA". It matches the Rfam family "Bacterial small subunit ribosomal RNA", at positions 63 to 677 of the family's 1533-position model. The record is from RNAcentral.
CGAACGGGGUUUAGGAGCUUGCUCCUAGACCUAGUGGCGAACGGGUGAGUAACGCGUGAGUAACCUGCCCAUAUCAGGGGAAUAACACAGUGAAAACUGUGCUAAUACCGCAUAAGACCACAGAGAGGCAUCUCUCAGGGGUAAAAGAUUUAUCGGAUAUGGAUGGGCUCGCGUCCUAUUAGGUAGUUGGUGAGGUAACGGCUCACCAAGCCCGCGAUAGGUAGCCGACCUUAGAGGGUGAUCGGCCACAUUGGAACUGAGAAACGGUCCAGACUCCUACGGGAGGCAGCAGUGGGGAAUAUUGGGCAAUGGAGGCAACUCUGACCCAGCAACGCCGCGUGAAUGAUGAAGGUCUUCGGAUUGUAAAGUUCUGUGAUGGGGGAUGAACACAAUGACGGUACCCCAAUAGCAAGCCACGGUUAACUACGUGCCAGCAGCCGCGGUAAUACGUAGGUGGCAAGCGUUAUCCGGAAUGACCGGGCCGUAAAGGGUGCGUAGGUGGUUUAGUAAGUUGGCGGUGUAAUUCCGGGGCUCAACCUCGGCGCUACCGCCAAAACUAUUAGACUAGAGUGCAGGAGGGGUAAGUGGAAUUCUUAGUGUA